Molecule: long non-coding RNA, 319 nt
Organism: Centropristis striata (black sea bass)
Lineage: Eukaryota; Metazoa; Chordata; Actinopteri; Perciformes; Serranidae
Exons: 2
Source: RefSeq, a predicted model, not a curated record
UUUGCCAACUGCCGUAAAAUACUGUGCAAGGAAGAAGAGCGGCGUUUGUUGAUGGCUGCUACCAAUGGACACAUUGCCCAUCCAGCAGCAUCGUGCUCCUCCUGCUUUGUCCAUCACUGCUGCCUGGCUCCCAUCAGCAUGACUCUGCAAACUCAAGCUCAAGACAUCGCUCUUUAUUUAUUGCUCUUCAUUUGUCUGCAACAAACGCACAACCCACAGUAAAAUAUCUGGAACUUAAACCCCCGAGCAAGAAUGGAUGAAAACAGCACUAUAUCUAUACAGCACUAUAUAUUUAUCUCCUCGGGGAUAGGUAAAGUAA